This 62-nucleotide transfer RNA is filed under the name Veillonella atypica. It matches the Rfam family "tRNA", at positions 6 to 65 of the family's 71-position model. From Rfam's summary of the family: Transfer RNA (tRNA) molecules are approximately 80 nucleotides in length. RNAcentral also lists the same sequence under 10 other names. Lineage: Bacteria; Bacillati; Bacillota; Negativicutes; Veillonellales; Veillonellaceae. The record is from RNAcentral.
GAUAGCUCAGUUGGUAGAGCAAUCGGCUGUUAACCGAUCGGUCGUAGGUUCGAGUCCUACUC